ACAGACAGAUGAAUAUGUUGCCAUGAUCAGUGACAUCCUCAACAUUGGCAAGAAUGUGUGCUUGUGCCGCCACUUCCACCUUAUGGACAAGGCAGCUAUUUGAAGAAAGAUAGACCAAAGCAGUAUAUUGAUGUAUGGCCUAUAGACUUCUUCUGCCCUGAUGAGUCGAACAUAUUUGGCACAACUUCCCUUUUCCUGAUGCAGCUUGCGACUAUUCUAAAUAUGGUAUCAACGUGGAGGAAAAGGACAAUGCUGCGGGUGUUCCUCUGUGUGUCAUCACGUGAUGCAGAUCCUGAAGCACAGCAGAAGCAAGUGAAGUCCAUGUGCAGAAUUUGCGUACAAAAUGCAACAA
Molecule: long non-coding RNA, 352 nt
Organism: Penaeus monodon (black tiger shrimp)
Lineage: Eukaryota; Metazoa; Arthropoda; Malacostraca; Decapoda; Penaeidae
Exons: 3
Source: RefSeq, a predicted model, not a curated record